AGGACGAACGCUGGCGGCGUGCUUAACACAUGCAAGUCGAGCGGAAAGGCCCUUCGGGGUACUCGAGCGGCGAACGGGUGAGUAACACGUGAGUAAUCUGCCCCUAGCUCUGGGAUAGCUCCGGGAAACCGGGAUUAAUACCGGAUACGACCACCUUAGACAUCUUUUGUGGUGGAAAGAAUUUCGGCUAGGGAUGAGCUCGCGGCCUAUCAGCUUGUUGGUGGGGUAACGCCUACCAAGGCGACGACGGGUAGCCGGCCUGAGAGGGCGACCGGCCACACUGGGACUGAGACACGGCCCAGACUCCUACGGGAGGCAGCAGUGGGGAAUAUUGCGCAAUGGGCGAAAGCCUGACGCAGCGACGCCGCGUGGGGGAUGAAGGCCUUCGGGUUGUAAACCCCUUUCAGCAGGGACGAAGCGAAAGUGACGGUACCUGCAGAAGAAGCGCCGGCUAACUACGCGCCAGCGAGCCGC
RNAcentral lists this ribosomal RNA (474 nucleotides) under uncultured bacterium. RNAcentral's name for it is "SSU rRNA". It matches the Rfam family "Bacterial small subunit ribosomal RNA", at positions 26 to 518 of the family's 1533-position model. The record is from RNAcentral.